Molecule: non-coding RNA, 115 nt
Organism: Acanthosepion pharaonis
Lineage: Eukaryota; Metazoa; Mollusca; Cephalopoda; Sepiida; Sepiidae
Source: the annotation of a GenBank genome assembly
CUACGGUCAAAUCACGUUGAAAACACCGGUUCUCGUUCGAUCACCGAAGUUAAGCAUCGUAGAGCCAGGUCAGUACUUAGAUGGGGGACCGCUUGGGAACACCUGGUACUGUAAG